Molecule: ribosomal RNA, 951 nt
Filed under: Triticum aestivum (bread wheat)
Lineage: Eukaryota; Viridiplantae; Streptophyta; Magnoliopsida; Poales; Poaceae
Description: partial small subunit ribosomal RNA
Source: RNAcentral
AUGGAGGGGGAGGAGAAGCCGGUGGUGGGCGGGGCCUACUGGGGCGUGGGCGCGAGGGCCUGCGACUCGUGCGCCACCGAGGCGGCCAGGCUCUUCUGCCGCGCCGACGCCGCGUUCCUCUGCGCCGGCUGCGACGCGCGCGCGCACGGCGCCGGGUCGCGCCACGCCCGGGUCUGGCUCUGCGAGGUCUGCGAGCACGCGCCCGCGGCCGUCACGUGCAAGGCCGACGCCGCCGUGCUCUGCGCCUCCUGCGACGCCGACAUCCACGCCGCCAACCCGCUCGCGCGCCGACACGAGCGCGUCCCCGUCGCGCCCUUCUUCGGCACGGCCGCCGACGCGCACAAGCCCUUCGUGUCGUCGGGAGCCCAGGCCGCUGCCGAGGACGACGGGAGCAACGACGCCGAGGCGGCGUCGUGGCUGCUCCCCGAGCCCGAUCACAAGGAUGGUGCUACCGCGGAAGUCUUCUUCGCGGAUUCCGACCAUUACCUCGACCUCGACUUCGCGCGGUCAAUGGACGACAUCAAGGCCAUCAGCGUGCAGCUCAACGGCCAGCCCGAGAUCGACCUCAACGGCGGCAACAAAGGCUUCUACUCCGACCACUCCAUGAACCACAGCGUAUCGUCGUCUGAGGCGGCGGUGGUGCCCGACGCGGCGGUGGCGCCGGUGGUGAGCCGGGGGAGGGAGCGGGAGGCGCGGCUGAUGCGGUACAGGGAGAAGCGCAAGAGCCGGCGGUUCGAGAAGACCAUCCGGUACGCGUCCCGCAAGGCGUACGCCGAGACGCGGCCCCGCGUCAAGGGCCGGUUCGCCAAGCGCACGGGCACGGCGGACGCCGACGGCCUGGAGGAGCACGAGGAGAUGUACUCCUCAGCCGCGGCCGCCGUCGCCGCGCUCAUGGCGCCAGGCCCCGACCACGACUACGGCGUUGACGGCGUGGUGCCGACCUUGGUGUGA